GAUGAACGCUGGCGGCGUGCUUAAUACAUGCAAGUCGAGCGGACGGACGAGACGCUUGCUUCUCUCAUGUUAGCGGCGGACGGGUGAGUCACACGUGGAUAACCUCCUUAUUUGACUGAGAUCUCUUCGAGAAACCGGAGCUAAUACCGGAUAAUAUCUUGAACCGCAUUGUUCAAAAGUGAAAGUCGGUCUUGCGGUCACUUAUCGAUGGAUCCGCGCUGCAUUAGCGAGUUGGUAAGGUAACGGCUUACCAAGGGAACGAUGCAUCGCCGGCGUGAGGGGGUGAUCGGCCACACGGGAACGGAGGCACGGUCCAGACUCCUACGGGACGCAGCAGUAGGGAAGCUGCCGCAAUGGGCGAAAGCCUGACGGAGGAACGCCGCGUGUGUGGUGAAGGCGUUCGGAUCGUAAAGCCCUGCUAUUAGGGAAGAACAUAUGUGUAUGUAGAUGUGCACGUCUUGACGGUACCUAAUCAAGAAGCCCCGGCUAACUACGUG
Molecule: ribosomal RNA, 497 nt
Filed under: uncultured bacterium
Lineage: Bacteria
Description: partial 16S ribosomal RNA
Rfam family: Bacterial small subunit ribosomal RNA
Source: RNAcentral